Molecule: ribosomal RNA, 464 nt
Filed under: uncultured bacterium
Lineage: Bacteria
Description: partial 16S ribosomal RNA
Rfam family: Bacterial small subunit ribosomal RNA
Source: RNAcentral
GACGAACGCUGGCGGCGUGCUUAACACAUGCAAGUCGAACGGAAAGGCCCCUUUGGGGGUACUCGAGUGGCGAACGGGUGAGUAACACGUGAGUAACCUGCCCUUGACUUCGGGAUAACUUCAGGAAACUGGGGCUAAUACCGGAUAGGAAUCCUUGCUGCAUGGUGGGGGUUGGAAAGCUUCGGCGGUUUUGGAUGGACUCGCGGCUUAUCAGCUUGUUGGUGGGGUAGUGGCUUACCAAGGCUUUGACGGGUAGCCGGCCUGAGAGGGCGACCGGCCACAUUGGGACUGAGAUACGGCCCAGACUCCUACGGGAGGCAGCAGUGGGGAAUAUUGCACAAUGGGCGGAAGCCUGAUGCAGCAACGCCGCGUGCGGGAUGACGGCCUUCGGGUUGUAAACCGCUUUCAGCAGGGGCGAAGCUUUUGUGACGGUACCUGCAGAAGAAGCACCGGCCAACUACGUG